RNAcentral lists this long non-coding RNA (291 nucleotides) under Vigna radiata. RNAcentral describes it as "long non-coding RNA (VRAD_LNC000360)". Lineage: Eukaryota; Viridiplantae; Streptophyta; Magnoliopsida; Fabales; Fabaceae. The record is from RNAcentral.
CUGAACUUCAGGAAUUUUAACCGUAGAAGUUGAACAAGAUCCAUCUUUCAUCGAGUUAAGUGUAACUUCAGUAUUCAUCAAAAAUAGUGGGGACAGAUUACUGCAAUGGCAAUGAGUCAUGUGCAUUAUAAAUGCCAAGCAUCAUAAGAAAAGUGGGAAAUUUCAAUUCACAUAGAAGGGAUUGCUCAUCCAUCAAUGCGAUCAAAUCAAUAUUUAAAGGAAUCUAAGAAAAGUCCCAGUGUAAGGCCAGCCUUCCAAUAAUUAAACAAGGAAAUAAGGCCUCUAUUCAUG